This 301-nucleotide ribosomal RNA is filed under the name uncultured bacterium. RNAcentral describes it as "partial 16S ribosomal RNA". It matches the Rfam family "Bacterial small subunit ribosomal RNA", at positions 509 to 807 of the family's 1533-position model. The record is from RNAcentral.
CAGUAGCCGCGGGAAUACGGAGGGUGCAAGCGUUAUCCGGAUUCACUGGGUUUAAAGGGUGCGUAGGCGGGCAGGUAAGUCAGUGGUGAAAUCUUCGAGCUUAACUCGGAAACUGCCGUUGAUACUAUCUGUCUUGAAUAACGUUGAGGUGAGCGGAAUAUGUCAUGUAGCGGUGAAAUGCUUAGAUAUAACAUAGAACACCGAUUGCGAAGGCAGCUCACUAAACGCUCAUUGACGCUGAGGCACGAAAGCGUGGGGAUCAAACAGGAUUAGAUACCCCUGUAGUCCCUGUCUCUUAUAC